RNAcentral lists this ribosomal RNA (164 nucleotides) under uncultured bacterium. RNAcentral's name for it is "partial 16S rRNA". It matches the Rfam family "Bacterial small subunit ribosomal RNA", at positions 355 to 511 of the family's 1533-position model. The record is from RNAcentral.
UAGGGAAUCUUCCACAAUGGACGCAAGUCUGAUGGAGCAACGCCGCGUGAGUGAAGAAGGUCUUCGGAUCGUAAAACUCUGUUGUUAGAGAAGAACACGAGUGAGAGUAACUGUUCUUGUAUUGACGGUAUCUAACCAGAAAGCCACGGCUAACUACGUGCCUG